AGUCACAUUGAGAGGCUAUGUGUGGUUGCCCUGGUCAACACCCAACUGCCAGCAUCAACUGCCAGCUAUGUAGCGAGCUCUCUUGGACAUCUAGCCCAGUCAAAGCCUUGGGUGACUGUCACCCCAGCCAGCAUCUGACGGCAACUUCAGAGAGAACCCAGAUGAGAACUGCUCAGCUGAACCCCAUCAUCCAAAAAACUAGACAGGGUUUCACCAUGUUGCCCACCCUAGUCUUGAACUCCUGAGCUCUAGCCAUCCACCUGCCUUGGCCUCCCAACAUGCUGAGAUUACAGGAGGAAGCCACUGUGCCCGGCAAUGUCUGGUCCUCAGGCUGUGAGUGAUGUGCCUUAGGGGCAGGAGGAAAGUCAAGUCCUCCUGGGCCUUGGAUGACUCCCUUGCAAGAAUACAUUCUGUGAGUUGAGACCAGAAGCAGCAACCAGAAUAACUAGAUGAUUACUCUUCUCUUCAUGUGGUCAAAGUAUUUAUAGUAUUUGCUUAAUAAAACUCAUGAAAUCUCUGA
Molecule: long non-coding RNA, 520 nt
Organism: Homo sapiens (human)
Lineage: Eukaryota; Metazoa; Chordata; Mammalia; Primates; Hominidae
Source: Ensembl